Molecule: ribosomal RNA, 253 nt
Filed under: uncultured bacterium
Lineage: Bacteria
Description: partial 16S ribosomal RNA
Rfam family: Bacterial small subunit ribosomal RNA
Source: RNAcentral
UACGGAGGGGGCAAGCGUUGUCCGGAUUUAUUGGGCGUAAAGAGCGUGUAGGCGGUCUGGUAGGUCCGUUGUGAAAACUCGAGGCUCAACCUCGAGACGCCGAUGGAAACCAUCAGACUAGAGUCCGGAAGAGGAGAGUGGAAUUCCUGGUGUAGCGGUGAAAUGCGCAGAUAUCAGGAAGAACACCCGUGGCUAAGGCGGCUCUCUAGUACGGUACUGACGCUGAGACGCGAAAGCGUGGGGAGCGAACAGG